GGUUAAGCGACUAAGCGUACACGGUGGAUGCCCUGGCAGUCAGAGGCGAUGAAGGACGUGCUAAUCUGCGAUAAGCGUCGGUGAGGUGAUAUGAACCGUUAUAACCGGCGAUUUCCGAAUGGGGAAACCCAGUGUGUUUCGACACACUAUCAUUAACUGAAUCCAUAGGUUAAUGAGGCGAACCGGGGGAACUGAAACAUCUAAGUACCCCGAGGAAAAGAAAUCAACCGAGAUUCCCCCAGUAGCGGCGAGCGAACGGGGAGGAGCCCAGAGCCUGAAUCAGUGUGUGUGUUAGUGGAAGCGUCUGGAAAGGCGUGCGAUACAGGGUGACAGCCCCGUACACAAAAAUGCACAUAUUGUGAGCUCGAUGAGUAGGGCGGGACACGUGGUAUCCUGUCUGAAUAUGGGGGGACCAUCCUCCAAGGCUAAAUACUCCUGACUGACCGAUAGUGAACCAGUACCGUGAGGGAAAGGCGAAAAGAACCCCGGCGAGGGGAGUGAAAAAGAACCUGAAACCGUGUACGUACAAGCA
RNAcentral lists this ribosomal RNA (532 nucleotides) under Escherichia coli. Its description in RNAcentral is "partial 23S ribosomal RNA". It matches the Rfam family "Bacterial large subunit ribosomal RNA", at positions 1 to 572 of the family's 2925-position model. The record is from RNAcentral. Lineage: Bacteria; Pseudomonadati; Pseudomonadota; Gammaproteobacteria; Enterobacterales; Enterobacteriaceae.